Molecule: ribosomal RNA, 301 nt
Filed under: uncultured bacterium
Lineage: Bacteria
Description: partial 16S ribosomal RNA
Rfam family: Bacterial small subunit ribosomal RNA
Source: RNAcentral
CAGUCGCCGCGGUAAUACAGAGGGUGCAAGCGUUAAUCGGAUUUACUGGGCGUAAAGGGCGCGUAGGUGGUUAUGUAAGUGAGAUGUGAAAUCCCCGGGCUCAACCUGGGAACUGCAUCUUAUACUGCGUAGCUGGAGUGCAGUAGAGGGUAGUGGAAUUUCCGGUGUAGCGGUGAGAUGCGUAGAUAUCGGAAGGAACACCAGUGGCGAAGGCGGCUACCUGGACUGACACUGACACUGAGGCGCGAAAGCGUGGGGAGCAAACAGGAUUAGAUACCCGAGUAGUCCCUGUCUCUUAUAC